GACGAACGCUGGCGGCGUGCCUAAUACAUGCAAGUAGAACGCACAGUUUAUACCGUAGCUUGCUCCACCAUAGACUGUGAGUUGCGAACGGGUGAGUAACGCGUAGGUAACCUGCCUGGUAGCGGGGGAUAACUAUUGGCAACGAUAGCUAAUACCGCAUAAUAUUAAUUAUUGCAUGAUAAUUAAUUGAAAGGUGCAAUUGCACCACUACCAGAUGGACCUGCGUUGUAUUAGCUAGUAGGUGAGGUAACGGCUCACCUAGGCGACGAUACAUAGCCGAACUGAGAGGGGGAUAGGCCACACUGGGACUGAGAGACGGCCCAGAAGCGUACGGGAGGGAGAAGUAGGGAAUCGGAGGAAAGAGACGAAAGACUGACCGAGCAACGCGGGGGGAGUGAAGAAGGGUUUGGGAUCGGAAAGCUCGGUUGUAAGAGAAGAACGGGUGUGAGAGUGGAAAGUUGACAGUGUGACGGUAGCUUACGAGAAAGGGACGGCUAAGUAGGUG
This 505-nucleotide ribosomal RNA is filed under the name uncultured bacterium. Its description in RNAcentral is "partial 16S ribosomal RNA". It matches the Rfam family "Bacterial small subunit ribosomal RNA", at positions 28 to 507 of the family's 1533-position model. The record is from RNAcentral.